This 73-nucleotide transfer RNA is filed under the name Candidatus Auribacterota bacterium. Its description in RNAcentral is "tRNA-Pro". It matches the Rfam family "tRNA". From Rfam's summary of the family: Transfer RNA (tRNA) molecules are approximately 80 nucleotides in length. Their secondary structure includes four short double-helical elements and three loops (D, anti-codon, and T loops). Further hydrogen bonds mediate the characteristic L-shaped molecular structure. tRNAs have two regions of fundamental functional importance: the anti-codon, which is responsible for specific mRNA codon recognition, and the 3' end, to which the tRNAs corresponding amino acid is attached (by aminoacyl-tRNA synthetases). tRNAs cope with the degeneracy of the genetic code in two manners: having more than one tRNA (with a specific anti-codon) for a particular amino acid; and 'wobble' base-pairing, i.e. permitting non-standard base-pairing at the 3rd anti-codon position. Lineage: Bacteria; Pseudomonadati; Candidatus Auribacterota. The record is from RNAcentral.
CGGGGUGUAGGAUAAUGGCUAUUCCGCUUGUUUUGGGUACAAGAUAUUGGAGGUUCGAAUCCUCUCACCCCGA